GCUACGGGUGGCAGCAGUGAGGAAUAUUGGUCAAUGGGCGCGAGCCUGAACCAGCCAAGUAGCGUGAAGGAUGACUGCCCUACGGGUUGUAAACUUCUUUUAUAAAGGAAUCAAGUGAGGCACGUGUGCCUUUUUGUAUGUACUUUAUGAAUAAGGAUCGGCGAACGUCGUUCCAGCAGCCGCGGUAAUAAGGAGGAUCCGAGCGUUAUCCGGAUUUUAUGGGUUUAAAGGGAGCGUAGAUGGGUUGUUAAGUCAGUUGUGAAAGUUUGAGGCUCAACCGUAAAAUUGCAAUUGAUACUGGCAGUCUUGAGUAAAGUUGAGGUAGGCGGAAUUCGUGGUGUAGCGGUGAAAUGCUUAGAUAUCACGAAGAACUCCGAUUGCGAAGGCAGCUUACUAAACUGCCACUGACAUUGAUGCUCGAAAGUGUGGGUAUCAAACAGGAUUAGAUACCCUUGUAGUC
Molecule: ribosomal RNA, 460 nt
Filed under: uncultured bacterium
Lineage: Bacteria
Description: partial 16S ribosomal RNA
Rfam family: Bacterial small subunit ribosomal RNA
Source: RNAcentral